CCUACGGGUGGCAGCAGUGAGGAAUAUUGGUCAAUGGACGAGAGUCUGAACCAGCCAAGUAGCGUGAAGGAUGACUGCCCUAUGGGUUGUAAACUUCUUUUAUAUGGGAAUAAAACGUUCCACGUGUGGGAUUUUGUAUGUACCAUAUGAAUAAGGAUCGGCUAACUCCGUGCCAGCAGCCGCGGUAAUGCGGAGGAUCCGAGCGUUAUCCGGAUUUAUUGGGUUUAAAGGGAGCGUAGGUGGAUUGUUAAGUCAGUUGUGAAAGUUUGCGGCUCAACCGUAAAAUUGCAGUUGAAACUGGCAGUCUUGAGUACAGUAGAGGUGGGCGGAAUUCGUGGUGUAGCGGUGAAAUGCUUAGAUAUCACGAAGAACUCCGAUUGCGAAGGCAGUUCACUGGACUGCAACUGACACUGAGGCUCGAAAGUGUGGGUAUCAAACAGGAUUAGAUACCCUUGUAGUC
RNAcentral lists this ribosomal RNA (460 nucleotides) under uncultured bacterium. RNAcentral's name for it is "partial 16S ribosomal RNA". It matches the Rfam family "Bacterial small subunit ribosomal RNA", at positions 338 to 795 of the family's 1533-position model. The record is from RNAcentral.